GCAGUCGAGUCACCAGUCCCCUACAUGUUUGAGAAAAGAUUGUAAGGAUAAAUAUAAUAUGAUAGUGUUGAUUGAACGAGAGCUAGUUUGUCAAUAGUUAGGUAAAUGUACUAACCGGAGUCUGACUGCAUAGUGCCACCCAUUCAUCGAACGUGGGUACAUGUGGGGGUUCUCCAGCAGGUGGUGGUGGGGGUCCCAUUUGUGGUGGCUCCGCGCGGUUAUUCCAAGACGCCACUAUAGCCUGGAUGUUAGUUAACCAAGCAAACUAGAAGGUCAGAAGGAAUGAAAGUGCAAAUUUUAGCUUGGUUUGAAGAGGGCAAAACUAACCGCCAUCAUCUCACGAUUGUAAUUCACGUUUGCCUUCAUUAGGCGCAUGUACUCCUGCACCUCGAGAUUCCUACGCUCGACAAAGGCCAUGUAUGCCU
RNAcentral lists this long non-coding RNA (425 nucleotides) under Hordeum vulgare. RNAcentral's name for it is "long non-coding RNA (HVUL_LNC005653)". The record is from RNAcentral. Lineage: Eukaryota; Viridiplantae; Streptophyta; Magnoliopsida; Poales; Poaceae.